GUUGAAGGAAGGACAUGGCAUCUAGGCUUAGAGCCACUGAAUGUAAGGAUUGGGAAUGGCUAGAAAAUGCAACAGUACUGUGUCAACGUCACUCAUCAACAUGUUACUUUCUGGUUCCCCAACAACAUGUUCCAGUGAUUCUUCAUCAAAUUUAGACACACAGGUAUUUCCAAUAUUUUAGAGCUACCUAGAAGAUCGAUAGGAAGAGCAAAAACACAAGUCUUGAAGAGAAAGAGGGGCAAGAAGUCAAAGUCCAGGUCAUGGUUAUUCUGUCUGUGCUCAAAUAGUAAUAGUGGCAGUAACCCUGAUGCUGAGAACAAUCCUCCAUCCCUUGGUCAAUUUCUUGCACUAGAAAGAAGAGCUUCUAAUGAAAAUAGAAAGAACCAAAUCAUAUCCCUCUUAAUUAUGUGCCCUGAUAAUGAGCUUGCAUUGACUCAAACCAUUGAAGAAGCACGCUCAUAUAUAUUAUUUGUGAAUGGCACUAUUGAUCCAUCUCAGUCCAUCAGUUCAAGGCAGAAUCCACAGAGAGAACACAUGCAGGGCAUCAGGGUACGACAAUACAUAGUUUGACUCACUUGCUGAUAUAUGUCUCUAAUUGUGUGCACAAGUUUCUCGUGGUUAACUAAAGAUUUGCACAUAUAUCUUAUAUGUUUGUGUGGACAAGCUUGUAAGGGCAUGUUUGGUUUUGAGUUGGGAGAUUUGAGCUUUUAAUGUUUUCUUUUCAAUAUUCUCA
Glycine soja is the source of this 733-nucleotide long non-coding RNA. RefSeq lists it as uncharacterized. The transcript has 2 exons. The record is from RefSeq and is a predicted model, not a curated record. NCBI's taxonomy places the organism in Eukaryota, Viridiplantae, Streptophyta, Magnoliopsida, Fabales, Fabaceae.